Molecule: ribosomal RNA, 239 nt
Filed under: uncultured bacterium
Lineage: Bacteria
Description: partial 16S ribosomal RNA
Rfam family: Bacterial small subunit ribosomal RNA
Source: RNAcentral
CCGGCGUACGGGUGAGUAACACGUAUCCAACCUGCCGUCUACUCUUGGACAGCCUUCUGAAAGGAAGAUUAAUACAAGAUGGCAUCAUGAGUUCACAUGUUCACAUGAUUAAAGGUAUUCCGGUAGACGAUGGGGAUGCGUUCCAUUAGAUAGUAGGCGGGGUAACGGCCCACCUAGUCUUCGAUGGAUAGGGGUUCUGAGAGGAAGGUCCCCCACAUUGGAACUGAGACACGGUCCAA